UACAGGCUGCAUUGUUCGUAAUCAUAUUAAGUUUUAACCUUUAAGCUGUAAAAGGGAGUUUUAAUUGAGGAAGGAUUGGCAUGCCGCAUUCCAUUGUUAAUGCGGACAAACAUGAAACCCUCUGCGAACACCCACUUUGAGGAGUGGUGGUUUAAAACUUUCAAUAUUAAAAAAUUACGGCAUACGCGGCUUAUUA
Molecule: non-coding RNA, 196 nt
Organism: Viridibacillus arenosi FSL R5-213
Lineage: Bacteria; Bacillati; Bacillota; Bacilli; Caryophanales; Caryophanaceae
Rfam family: 6S / SsrS RNA
About the family: E. coli 6S RNA was the first non coding RNA to be sequenced, but its function was unknown until recently.
Source: Rfam